Molecule: long non-coding RNA, 386 nt
Organism: Homo sapiens (human)
Lineage: Eukaryota; Metazoa; Chordata; Mammalia; Primates; Hominidae
Source: Ensembl
AGCACAAAGUUACUCCAAAGGAGAGGGAUGAUAGAGUUAAUCGUCUAAACCAGGACACAUCUGAGCAUGAAAGGAGGCAGUCACUGCACAGGAUGCUAGAACAAACGGAAGUGAUUUGCAAUUCCUGGAUGACACCUGAAUUUUACCAAAAGGUUUCAAGGCAACCCUUUAGAAAGUGACCUUUUGCUUUCCCCAUUUCCUUUGCCCUAAGUGUUAAUUGACUUUGAAAAAGCAGUAUAUUAUCUUUUCAGAAAAAAGAAAAGGAUAGACCUUAUUUGUGAACACCAACAUCCUACAGCAUCAAAGCGUUGUUUAAAUCAUCGCACAGCAGAGCUGAGAACAACUAUCCAGGAGAGUGAGAUUUAAAAAAAAAGAAAAGAAAAGAA